UACAGAGGGUGCGAGCGUUAAUCGGAAUUACUGGGCGUAAAGCGUGCGUAGACGGUUACAUAAGUCGGGUGUGAAAGCCCCGGGCUCAACCUGGGAAUUGCAUUCGAGACUGCGUAGCUAGGGUGCGGAAGAGGGAAGCGGAAUUUCCGGUGUAGCGGUGAAAUGCGUAGAUAUCGGAAGGAACACCAGAGGCGAAGGCGAUGCUUUAGGUCAGUACCGACGCUCAGAUGCGAAAGCAUGGGUAGCGAACGGG
This 253-nucleotide ribosomal RNA is filed under the name uncultured bacterium. RNAcentral's name for it is "partial 16S ribosomal RNA". It matches the Rfam family "Bacterial small subunit ribosomal RNA", at positions 524 to 776 of the family's 1533-position model. The record is from RNAcentral.